Diceros bicornis minor is the source of this 922-nucleotide long non-coding RNA. RefSeq lists it as uncharacterized. The record is from RefSeq and is a predicted model, not a curated record. The transcript has 2 exons. NCBI's taxonomy places the organism in Eukaryota, Metazoa, Chordata, Mammalia, Perissodactyla, Rhinocerotidae.
CCCACUCCGUCCCUGGGCCCCCACACCAUCCCGGGCCCCUGGGCGGUCCCUGGGGUCCCACGUGUUCCUGGGCCCCCGCUCCGCCACUGGGCUUCUAUGCCGUCCCAGGCCCCCAUGGCAUCCUGGGCCCCCAUGGCAUCCUGGGCCCCCACUCCGUCUCUGGGCUCCUACGCCGUCCCCGGGAUCCCUCCUGUGCAGGUCUGGACACGUGAGUGCCUCCCCCGCCCCUCAAAGCUCCGUUUCGGGGCCUGGACCUGCACUUCCUGAAUGUCAUAGAAAUGGAAUCGUACAGUAUGUAGCCUCUCUGGUCUGGCUUCCUUCACUCAGCAUUUUGAGAUUCAUCCACAUUCGUGUCCACUGCUGACCAGUAUUCCAUGGAAUGGGUGAACCACACUUUGUUUAUUAGUCAUCAAUUGAAGGACAUGGGGGUGGUUUCCUGUUUGGGGCAAUUGUGAAUGAAACUGCUGUAAACAUUCACUUUUAGGCUUUUGUGUGAAUAUAAGUUUUCAUUUCGGUUGGGUAAAUAAAGACUUAGGAGUGGGACUUCUGGGUCAUAUGGUAGGUGUAUGUUUAAUUUUAUAAGAAAUUGCCAAAUUGUUUUCCAGAGAAAGCUGUACCAUUUUGCACUCCCACAGCAGUGUGUGAGGUCCAGCUGCUCCUCAUCGCCCUCAGCACUUGUAUUGUCAGGUUUUCUUAAGUAAUUCUAAUAGGCGUGUAGUGGUAUCCCAUACAGUUUUAAAUUGCAUUUCCCUAGUGACUAAUGAUGUGGAGAAUCUAUUCAUGUGCUUAUUUGCCAUAUAUUCAUAUACCUUCUUUGGUGAAGUGUCUGUUCAAAUCUUUUGCCCACUUGGUAAAUUGGGUUGUUUGUUUUAUUGUUGAAUGAGUAUUCCUUUUAUGUUCUUGAUAAAAGUCUUUCGUGAGA